Molecule: ribosomal RNA, 440 nt
Filed under: uncultured bacterium
Lineage: Bacteria
Description: partial 16S ribosomal RNA
Rfam family: Bacterial small subunit ribosomal RNA
Source: RNAcentral
CCUACGGGAGGCAGCAGUAGGGAAUAUUGCUCAAUGGGGGAAACCCUGAAGCAGCAACGCCGCGUGGAGGAUGACGGUUUUCGGAUUUUAAACUCCUUUUGUUAGAGAAGAUAAUGACGGUAUCUAACGAAUAAGCACCGGCUAACUCCGUGCCAGCAGCCGCGGUAAUACGGAGGGUGCAAGGGUUACUCGGAAUCACUGGGCGUAAAGAGCGCGUAGGCGGGAUAGCAAGUCAGAUGUGAAAUCCUAUGGCUUAACCAUAGAACUGCAUUUGAAACUGUUAGUCUAGAGUAUGGGAGAGGUAGGUGGAAUUCUUGGUGUAGGGGUAAAAUCCGUAGAGAUCAAGAGGAAUACUCAUUGCGAAGGCGACCUGCUAGAACAUAACUGACGCUGAUGCGCGAAAGCGUGGGGAGCAAACAGGAUUAGAUACCCGGGUAGUC